RNAcentral lists this ribosomal RNA (253 nucleotides) under uncultured bacterium. RNAcentral's name for it is "partial 16S ribosomal RNA". It matches the Rfam family "Bacterial small subunit ribosomal RNA", at positions 524 to 776 of the family's 1533-position model. The record is from RNAcentral.
UACGGAGGAUCCAAGCGUUAUCCGGAUUCAUUGGGUUUAAAGGGUGCGUAGGCGGCCUUUUAAGUCAGUGGUGAAAUCUUGCCGCUUAACGGUAAAAUUGCCAUUGAUACUGAAAGGCUUGAGUACAUUUGAGGUAAGCGGAAUGUGUAGUGUAGCGGUGAAAUGCUUAGAUAUUACACAGAACACCAAUUGCGAAGGCAGCUUACUAAACUGUGACUGACGCUGAUGCACGAAAGCGUGGGGAGCGAACAGG